GACGGGCCCGCACAAGCAGCGGAGCGUGUGGUUUAAUUCGAUGUUACACGAAGAACCUUACCAGGGUUUGACAUGCAAGUGGUAGGAAGCCGAAAGGUGACCGACCCUUCGGGGAGCUUGCACAGGUGCUGCAUGGCUGUCGUCAGCUCGUGUCGUGAGAUGUUCGGUUAAGUCCGCUAACGAGCGCAACCCUCGCUGUGUGUUAUAUGUGUCACACGGGACUGCCGGUCUUAAGCCGGAGGAAGGUGGGGAUGAUGUCAAGUCAGCAUGGCCUUUAUAUCCUGGGCUACACACACGCUACAAUGGCCAACACAAUAGGUUGCUAAGCCGCGAGGUGGCGCCAAUCCAUAAAGUUGGUCUCAGUUCAGAUUGUAGGCUGCAACCCGCCUGCAUGAAGUUGGAGUUGCUAGUAAACGCAGGUCAGCCAUACUGCGUUGAAUACGUUCCCGGGGCUU
RNAcentral lists this ribosomal RNA (455 nucleotides) under uncultured Leptolinea sp. RNAcentral's name for it is "bacterial SSU rRNA". It matches the Rfam family "Bacterial small subunit ribosomal RNA", at positions 917 to 1381 of the family's 1533-position model. Lineage: Bacteria; Bacillati; Chloroflexota; Anaerolineae; Anaerolineales; Anaerolineaceae. The record is from RNAcentral.